Molecule: ribosomal RNA, 237 nt
Filed under: Triticum aestivum (bread wheat)
Lineage: Eukaryota; Viridiplantae; Streptophyta; Magnoliopsida; Poales; Poaceae
Description: partial small subunit ribosomal RNA
Source: RNAcentral
AUGUACUGUGCGCUCACACAUUCUGAGGUACCAGUGAGUAAUAACAAGAAAAAUUGGAAGUCCAAGAUUCCACUAAAAGUGAAAAUCCUCAUGUGGUAUCUUCAUAAAGUUGUGUUAUUAACCGAAGACAACCUCGCACGGCACAACUGGCCAGGGAGUAAGAAGUGUUGUUUUUGUACUCAUGACGAGACAAUCAAACACCUCUUUUUCCAAUGCAAGUUUGCACGUUCUACGUGA